ACUGAACGCUGGCGGCAGGCCUAACACAUGCAAGUCGAACGGUAACAGGAAGAAGCUUGCUUCUUUGCUGACGAGUGGCGGACGGGUGAGUAAUGUCUGGGAAACUGCCUGAUGGAGGGGGAUAACUACUGGAAACGGUAGCUAAUACCGCAUAACGUCGCAAGACCAAAGAGGGGGACCUUCGGGCCUCUUGCCAUCGGAUGUGCCCAGAUGGGAUUAGCUAGUAGGUGGGGUAACGGCUCACCUAGGCGACGAUCCCUAGCUGGUCUGAGAGGAUGACCAGCCACACUGGAACUGAGACACGGUCCAGACUCCUACGGGAGGCAGCAGUGGGGAAUAUUGCACAAUGGGCGCAAGCCUGAUGCAGCCAUGCCGCGUGUAUGAUGAAGGCCUUCGGGUUGUAAAGUACUUUCAGCGGGGAGGAAGGGAGUAAAGUUAAUACCUUUGCUCAUUGACGUUACCCGCAGAAGAAGCACCGGCUAACUCCGUG
RNAcentral lists this ribosomal RNA (490 nucleotides) under uncultured bacterium. RNAcentral describes it as "partial 16S ribosomal RNA". It matches the Rfam family "Bacterial small subunit ribosomal RNA", at positions 30 to 507 of the family's 1533-position model. The record is from RNAcentral.